Molecule: long non-coding RNA, 364 nt
Filed under: Nicotiana benthamiana
Lineage: Eukaryota; Viridiplantae; Streptophyta; Magnoliopsida; Solanales; Solanaceae
Description: long non-coding RNA (NBEN_LNC004260)
Source: RNAcentral
CUCCAAAGACCACUACAACACUCAAAAGAAAUAACCCUCUUUUAAUAUUCCCACCUUACUACAAUAUAGCUCACUCUCUAUUUUCCUCACAGACUAUUUUCUUAUACCCUGUCUGUGAAACCUUACUCUUUUUCACUCUUUCUGUUGGUCUAUCAAAUUGAGAGCCGAAUGUCUCAUUUUAUAGGCAAAGAUUAGGAAAGAGCAGCACAACCUUUAUGACAAUUCAGCACACGAAAACUGAAAAACAAUAGAAAACAUGGGCUGCUGCUUUAGCAGCCAUUAUUAAAAAACAAGGAAUAAGUUUUCUUCGUUAAUAAGUGGGCUGGACCCACAACCCUCCACUCUUAUGUUUUUUAUAACCAAC